RNAcentral lists this ribosomal RNA (220 nucleotides) under uncultured bacterium. Its description in RNAcentral is "partial 16S ribosomal RNA". It matches the Rfam family "Bacterial small subunit ribosomal RNA", at positions 114 to 334 of the family's 1533-position model. The record is from RNAcentral.
AACGUGGGCAAUCUGCCCUGCAUUCUGGGACAAGCCUUGGAAACGAGGUCUAAUACCGGAUACGACGCAUCUCCGCAUGGAGUGUGCGUGGAAAGCUCCGGCGAUGCAGGAUGAGCCCGCGGCCUAUCAGCUUGUUGGUGGGGUAAUGGCCUACCAAGGCGACGACGGGUAGCCGGCCUGAGAGGGCGACCGGCCACACUGGGACUGAGACACGGCCCAG